RNAcentral lists this ribosomal RNA (253 nucleotides) under uncultured bacterium. RNAcentral describes it as "partial 16S ribosomal RNA". It matches the Rfam family "Bacterial small subunit ribosomal RNA", at positions 524 to 776 of the family's 1533-position model. The record is from RNAcentral.
UACGAGGGGGGCAAGCGUUGUUCGGAAUUAUUGGGCGUAAAGGGUGCGUAGGCGGUUUGGUAAGUCUUAUGUGAAAUCUACAGGCUCAACUUGUAGUCUGCAUGAGAAACUGCCGGGCUUGAGUAUGGGAGAGGUGAGUGGAAUUCCUGGUGUAGCGGUGAAAUGCGUAGAUAUCCGGAGGAACACCAAUGGCGAAGGCAGUGUCCUGGGAAGUACCUGACGCUCAGGUGCGAAAGCUAGGGGAGCGAACAGG